This 450-nucleotide ribosomal RNA is filed under the name uncultured bacterium. RNAcentral's name for it is "partial 16S ribosomal RNA". It matches the Rfam family "Bacterial small subunit ribosomal RNA", at positions 354 to 796 of the family's 1533-position model. The record is from RNAcentral.
GUGGGGAAUUUUGGACAAUGGGCGCAAGCCUGAUCCAGCAAUGCCGCGUGCAGGAAGAAGGCCUUCGGGUUGUAAACUGCUUUUGUACGGAACGAAAAGGCUCUGGUUAAUACCUGGGGCUCAUGACGGUACCGUAAGAAUAAGCACCGGCUAACUACGUGCCAGCAGCCGCGGUAAUACGUAGGGUGCAAGCGUUAAUCGGAAUUACUGGGCGUAAAGCGUGCGCAGACGGUUUUGUAAGACAGGCGUGAAAUCCCCGGGCUCAACCUGGGAAUGGCGCUUGUGACUGCAAGGCUGGAGUGCGGCAGAGGGGGAUGGAAUUCCGCGUGUAGCAGUGAAAUGCGUAGAUAUGCGGAGGAACACCGAUGGCGAAGGCAAUCCCCUGGGCCUGCACUGACGCUCAUGCACGAAAGCGUGGGGAGCAAACAGGAUUAGAAACCCGUGUAGUCC